AUUGAACGCUGGCGGCAGGCCUAACACAUGCAAGUCGAGCGAGACGCGGACGGGUGAGUAAUGAAUCGGGCUCGGACCGAUGGAGGGGGAUAGGUAACGGGAACGGAUGCCAAAACCGCCCACUUGAGGCUGAACCCAUGUGGGAUUAGCUAGGUGGUGGGGUAAAGGCAGACCUAGGCGACGAUCUCUAGCUGGUCUGAGAGGAUGAUCAGCCCCACUGGAACUGAGACACGGGCCAGACUCCUACGGGAGGCAGCAGUGGGGAAUAUUGCACAAUGGGCGCAAGCCUGAUGCAGCCAUGCCGCGUGUAUGAAGAAGGCCUUCGGGUUGUAAAGUACUUUCAGCGGGGAGGCGUUACCCGCAGAAGAAGCACCGGCUAACUCCGUGCCAGCAGCCGCGGUAAUUC
Molecule: ribosomal RNA, 406 nt
Filed under: uncultured bacterium
Lineage: Bacteria
Description: partial 16S ribosomal RNA
Rfam family: Bacterial small subunit ribosomal RNA
Source: RNAcentral